RNAcentral lists this ribosomal RNA (615 nucleotides) under Pseudolachnea fraxini. RNAcentral describes it as "LSU rRNA". It matches the Rfam family "Eukaryotic large subunit ribosomal RNA", at positions 58 to 698 of the family's 3401-position model. The record is from RNAcentral. Lineage: Eukaryota; Fungi; Ascomycota; Sordariomycetes; Chaetosphaeriales; Chaetosphaeriaceae.
AAAGAAACAAAAAGGAAUUGCCUCGUAACGGCGAGUGAAGCGGCAACAGCUCAAAUUUGAAAUCUGGCCCCCUGCGGGGUCCGAGUUGUAAUUUGCAGAGGAUGCUUCGGGCGCGGCGCCUUCCAAGUCCGCUGGAACGCGGCACCACAGAGGGUGAGAGUCCCGUAUGGUUGGCCGCCUAGCCCGUGUGAAGCCCUUCGACGAGUCGAGUAGUUUGGGAAUGCUGCUCUAAACGGGAGGUAGACCCCUUCUAAAGCUAAAUAUAGGCCAGAGACCGAUAGCGCACAAGUAGAGUGAUCGAAAGAUGAAAAGCACUUUGAAAAGAGGGUUAAACAGUACGUGAAAUUGUUGAAAGGGAAGCGCUUGUGACCAGACGUGCGCCGGGCGCUCAGCGGGCGUUCUCGCCCGUGCACUCGCCCCGGCGCAGGCCAGCGUCGGUUCGGACGGGGGGACAAAGGUGCCAGGAACGUAGCUCCCCCGGGAGUGUUAUAGCCUGGUGCGUAAUGCCCCCGUCCGGACCGAGGUUCGCGCUCUGCAAGGACGCUGGCGUAAUGGUCCCCAGCGGCCCGUCUUGAAACACGGACCAAGGAGUCGAGGUUUUGCGCAGUGUUUGGG